RNAcentral lists this ribosomal RNA (250 nucleotides) under uncultured bacterium. RNAcentral's name for it is "partial 16S ribosomal RNA". It matches the Rfam family "Bacterial small subunit ribosomal RNA", at positions 355 to 602 of the family's 1533-position model. The record is from RNAcentral.
GGAGGAAUAUUGGUCAAUGGACGGAAGUCUGAACCAGCCAAGUCGCGUGAAGGAAGAAGGUUCUAUGGAUCGUAAACUUCUUUUGUAAGGGGAUAAAGUGUACUACGUGUAGUAUUUUGUAGGUACCUUACGAAUAAGGAUCGGCUAACUCCGUGCCAGCAGCCGCGGUAAUACGGAGGAUCCGAGCGUUAUCCGGAUUUAUUGGGUUUAAAGGGUGCGUAGGCGGGAUUUUAAGUCAGUGGUGAAAGUU